AAAUAAGCUGUCUCAGUUAUAAUGAUUGAAUUUAACUUUUAAGUGAAAAGGCUUAAAUAAUCUGAGGGGACGAUAAGACCCUAUAAAGCUUUACGAUUUGGUUAUUAAAUUGAAAAUUGUAAGUUUAAAUUUGAUUUAAACAUUUGUUUCGUUGGGGCGACGAGAAUAAAACUAGUAACUGUUCUUUUUUAAUAUUACAAAUAUAAUUGUACGAAAAUUGAUCCCUUACUAAGGAUUAAAAGUUUAAGUUACUUUAGGGAUAACAGCGUAAUCUUUUUUGAGAGUCCUUAUCGACAAAAAGGGU
This 304-nucleotide ribosomal RNA is filed under the name Sicyonia brevirostris. RNAcentral's name for it is "partial 16S ribosomal RNA". Lineage: Eukaryota; Metazoa; Arthropoda; Malacostraca; Decapoda; Sicyoniidae. The record is from RNAcentral.